This 312-nucleotide ribosomal RNA is filed under the name uncultured bacterium. Its description in RNAcentral is "bacterial SSU rRNA". It matches the Rfam family "Bacterial small subunit ribosomal RNA", at positions 28 to 334 of the family's 1533-position model. The record is from RNAcentral.
GAUGAACGCUAGCUACAGGCUUAACACAUGCAAGUCGAGGGGCAGCAUUUUUAUAGCAAUAUAAAAGAUGGCGACCGGCGCACGGGUGAGUAACACGUAUCCAACCUGCCGAUAACUCGGGGAUAACCCUUCGAAAGAAGGCCUAAUACCCGAUGGCAUAUCCCUUCCGCCUGGUUGGGAUAUUAAAGAACUUCGGUUAUCGAUGGGGAUGCGUUCCAUUAGCUUGUUGGUGGGGUAACGGCCUACCAAGGCGACGAUGCAUAGCCGACCUGAGAGGGCGAACGGCCACAUUGGGACUGAGACACGGCCCAA